This 253-nucleotide ribosomal RNA is filed under the name uncultured bacterium. RNAcentral's name for it is "partial 16S ribosomal RNA". It matches the Rfam family "Bacterial small subunit ribosomal RNA", at positions 524 to 776 of the family's 1533-position model. The record is from RNAcentral.
UACGGGGGGAGCGAGCGUUGUUCGGAAUCACUGGGCGUAAAGGGAGUCUAGGCGGUUGCCCAAGUCGGGUGUGAAAGCCUUGAGCUCAACUCAAGAAAUGCACUCGGUACUGGGUGACUAGAGGACCGGAGAGGAUAGUGGAAUUCCCAGUGUAGUGGUGAAAUACGUAGAGAUUGGGAAGAACACCAGUGGCGAAGGCGGCUAUCUGGACGGUUUCUGACGCUAAGACGCGAAAGCGUGGGGAGCAAACAGG